This 431-nucleotide ribosomal RNA is filed under the name uncultured bacterium. RNAcentral describes it as "bacterial SSU rRNA". It matches the Rfam family "Bacterial small subunit ribosomal RNA", at positions 29 to 507 of the family's 1533-position model. The record is from RNAcentral.
AACGAACGCUGGCGGCAGGCUUAACACAUGCAAGUCGAGCGCCUCGCAAGGGGAGCGGCAGACGGGUGAGUAACGCGUGGGAAACUACCCUUUGGUACGGAAUAACACAGAGAAAUUUGUGCUAAUACCGUAUGUGCCCUUCGGGGGAAAGAUUUAUCGCCAUAGGAUGUGCCCGCGUCGGAUUAGCUAGUUGGUGUGGUAAUGGCGCACCAAGGCGACGAUCCGUAGCUGGUCUGAGAGGAUGACCAGCCACAUUGGGACUGAGACACGGCCCAAACUCCUACGGGAGGCAGCAGUAGGGAAUUUUCCGCAAUGGGCGAAAGCCUGACGGAGCAACGCCGCGUGAGGGAAGAAGGUCUUCGGAUCGUAAACCUUUGUCAUCGGGGACGAUCAUGACGGUACCCGAGGAGGAAGCCCCGGCUAACUACGUG